GCAAACUUGGUCAUUUAGAGGAAGUAAAAGUCGUAACAAGGUCUCCGUUGGUGAACCAGCGGAGGGAUCAUUACAGAGUUGCAAAACUCCUCAAACCCAGUGUUUAAUAUACCUGAUCGUUGCUUCGGCAGGCGGCCCCAGGGCGGGGUCGUAGCCUCUCAGGCGCCUGCCGGAAGUUCUUGAAAAUUCUGUUAUUUUUUAGUUAUCUGAGUUCUGAAGAAAAAUAAAUUAAAACUUUCAACAACGGAUCUCUUGGUUCUGGCAUCGAUGAAGAACGCAGC
Molecule: unclassified non-coding RNA, 281 nt
Filed under: uncultured fungus
Lineage: Eukaryota; Fungi
Description: partial contains small subunit ribosomal RNA, internal transcribed spacer 1, and 5.8S ribosomal RNA
Rfam family: Eukaryotic small subunit ribosomal RNA (bases 1-73)
Source: RNAcentral